Molecule: ribosomal RNA, 356 nt
Filed under: Streptantibioticus cattleyicolor
Lineage: Bacteria; Bacillati; Actinomycetota; Actinomycetes; Kitasatosporales; Streptomycetaceae
Description: bacterial SSU rRNA
Rfam family: Bacterial small subunit ribosomal RNA
Source: RNAcentral
UUAGUGGCGAACGGGUGAGUAACACGUGGGCAAUCUGCCCUGCACUCUGGGAUAACUCCGGGAAACCGGGGCUAAUACCGGAUACGACCUUAGGGCGCAUGCCCUGGGGUGGAAAGUUCCGGCGGUGCAGGAUGAGCCCGCGGCCUAUCAGCUUGUUGGUGGGGUAAUGGCCUACCAAGGCGACGACGGGUAGCCGGCCUGAGAGGGCGACCGGCCACACUGGGACUGAGACACGGCCCAGACUCCUACGGGAGGCAGCAGUGGGGAAUAUUGCACAAUGGGCGAAAGCCUGAUGCAGCGACGCCGCGUGAGGGAUGACGGCCUUCGGGUUGUAAACCUCUUUCAGCAGGGAAGAA